GAUGAACGCUGGCGGCGUGCCUAAUACAUGCGAGUCGAGCGAACGGACGAGAAGCUUGCUUCUCUGAUGUUAGCGGCGGACGGGUGAGUAACACGUGGAUAACCUACCUAUAAGACUGGGAUAACUUCGGGAAACCGGAGCUAAUACCGGAUGAUAUUUUGAACCGCAUGGUUCAAAAGUGAAAGACGGUCUUGCUGUCACGUAUAGAUGGAUCCGCGCUGCAUUAGCUAGUUGGUAAGGUAACGGCUUACCAAGGCAACGAUGCAUAGCCGACCUGAGAGGGUGAUCGGCCACCCUGGAACUGAGCCACGGUCCAGACUCCUACGGGAGGCAGCAGUAGGGAAUCUUCCGCAAUGGGCGAAAGCCUGACGGAGCACCGCCGCGUGAGUGAUGAAGGUCUUCGGAUCGUAAAACUCUGUUAUUAGGGAAGAACAUAUGUGUAAGUAACUGUGCACAUCUUGACGGUACCUAAUCAGAAAGCCACGGCUAACUACGUG
This 497-nucleotide ribosomal RNA is filed under the name uncultured bacterium. Its description in RNAcentral is "partial 16S ribosomal RNA". It matches the Rfam family "Bacterial small subunit ribosomal RNA", at positions 28 to 507 of the family's 1533-position model. The record is from RNAcentral.